UACGGAGGGAGCUAGCGUUGUUCGGAAUUACUGGGCGUAAAGCGCACGUAGGCGGCUUUGUAAGUUAGAGGUGAAAGCCUGGAGCUCAACUCCAGAAUAGCCUUUAAGACUGCAUCGCUUGAAUCAUGGAGAGGCGGGUGGAAUUCCGAGUGUAGAGGUGAAAUUCGUAGAUAUUCGGAAGAACACCAGUGGCGAAGGCGGCCCGCUGGACAUGUAUUGACGCUGAGGUGCGAAAGCGUGGGGAGCAAACAGG
Molecule: ribosomal RNA, 253 nt
Filed under: uncultured bacterium
Lineage: Bacteria
Description: partial 16S ribosomal RNA
Rfam family: Bacterial small subunit ribosomal RNA
Source: RNAcentral